GGGGGAGUAGCUCAGUUGGUUAGAGCGUCGGCCUGUCACGCCGAAGGUCGCGGGUUCGAGCCCCGUCUCUCUCGCCA
RNAcentral lists this transfer RNA (77 nucleotides) under Beijerinckiaceae bacterium. Its description in RNAcentral is "tRNA-Asp". It matches the Rfam family "tRNA". Rfam says of the family: Transfer RNA (tRNA) molecules are approximately 80 nucleotides in length. Their secondary structure includes four short double-helical elements and three loops (D, anti-codon, and T loops). RNAcentral also lists the same sequence under 1 other name. Lineage: Bacteria; Pseudomonadati; Pseudomonadota; Alphaproteobacteria; Hyphomicrobiales; Beijerinckiaceae. The record is from RNAcentral.